GCUCUGAGUUAUUCCCACUCUUCAACACUAACAUGGUUUAUUCCCAAUCUACGGUUUUCUUACUGCACAGUAUUUCACACCAGCUACUGCUGUGCUGGGACAACUCUGAGACUCUGAAAGCCAGACUCUGCUCCAGCCACCAUGGAAGGCUGCUUCCCUCCCGGGUGCUCUCUGUGGUGCUUCUGCCUUGGCACCAGCCAGCCACGGGCUGCAAGCUCUGAACUGGUGAGCCAAAGAGGGUCUUUGUGUGGCUGCUCCCAUGUUGUGCAUCAAUUCAAAACAUUCACCUUUGAUGGUCAUUUUGACUUCAGAGAAGAACCGGAAGUCACACCAUGCCAAACCUUGUGAGUAAGGUGGAGGAGGACAUGCCAUAGUGUUUUCAUUUGAAUAAAAUUUCCCUAAGUGUUUUGAAUCAACAUAGGAAGUUGAGGUAACCAUAAAAAGACAUUCACAAUAGGUGAUAUCUAGAACUGCCUGAGAAAAUGGCAAUAAUGAUGGGAUAAGUGGGUUUCAAACCGAGGGGAGUAUUUUGAAAAGGACCAGUGGCAGUAUGUCUUCACUGUAAUCAUU
Chinchilla lanigera (long-tailed chinchilla) is the source of this 570-nucleotide long non-coding RNA. RefSeq lists it as uncharacterized. The transcript is spliced from 3 exons. NCBI's taxonomy places the organism in Eukaryota, Metazoa, Chordata, Mammalia, Rodentia, Chinchillidae. The record is from RefSeq and is a predicted model, not a curated record.